CGAACGCUGGCGGCGUGCUUAACACAUGCAAGUCGAACGAUGAAGCGGUGCUUGCACCGUGGAUUAGUGGCGAACGGGUGAGUAAUACGUGAGUGACCUACCUUUGACUCUGGGAUAAGCCUGGGAAACUGGGUCUAAUACCGGAUACGACCAAUCUCUGCAUGGGGUGUUGGUGGAAAGCGUUAUGGAGUGGUUUUAGAUGGGCUCACGGCCUAUCAGCUUGUUGGUGAGGUAAUGGCUUACCAAGGCGACGACGGGUAGCCGGCCUGAGAGGGUGACCGGCCACACUGGGACUGAGACACGGCCCAGACUCCUACGGGAGGCAGCAGUGGGGAAUAUUGCACAAUGGGCGCAAGCCUGAUGCAGCGACGCCGCGUGAGGGAUGACGGCCUUCGGGUUGUAAACCUCUGUUAGCAUCGAAGAAGCGAAAGUGACGGUAGGUGCAGAGAAAGCGCCGGCUAACUACGU
This 468-nucleotide ribosomal RNA is filed under the name Rothia aeria. Its description in RNAcentral is "bacterial SSU rRNA". It matches the Rfam family "Bacterial small subunit ribosomal RNA", at positions 30 to 506 of the family's 1533-position model. The record is from RNAcentral. Lineage: Bacteria; Bacillati; Actinomycetota; Actinomycetes; Micrococcales; Micrococcaceae.